AUUGAACGCUGGCGGCAUGCCUUACACAUGCAAGUCGAACGGCAUCGCGGGAAAGCUUGCUUUCCUGGCGGCGAGUGGCGAACGGGUGAGUAACACAUCGGAACGUACCGGCUAGUGGGGGAUAACCCGUCGAAAGACGGGCUAAUACCGCAUACGCUCUUCGGAGGAAAGCAGGGGACCUUUGGGCCUUGCGCUAGCCGAGCGGCCGAUGUCCGAUGAGCUAGUUGGUGGGGGAAAGGCCUACCAAGGCGACGAUCGGUAGCGGGUCUGAGAGGACGAUCCGCCACACGGGGACUGAGCCACGGCCCAGACUCCUACGGGAGGCCGCAGUGGGGAAUCUUGGACAAUGGGGGCAACCCUGAUCCAGCAAUGCCGCGUGGGUGAAGAAGGCCUUCGGGUUGUAAAGCCCUUUCGGCAGGGAAGAAAUCGGCGGGGCGAAUAACCCUGCUGGAUGACGGUACCUGCAGAAGAAGCACCGGCUAACUACGUG
Molecule: ribosomal RNA, 490 nt
Filed under: uncultured bacterium
Lineage: Bacteria
Description: partial 16S ribosomal RNA
Rfam family: Bacterial small subunit ribosomal RNA
Source: RNAcentral